Molecule: unclassified non-coding RNA, 358 nt
Filed under: soil metagenome
Description: partial contains 5.8S ribosomal RNA, internal transcribed spacer 2, and large subunit ribosomal RNA
Rfam family: 5.8S ribosomal RNA (bases 1-120)
Source: RNAcentral
GAUGAAGAACGUAGCGAAAUGCGAUAAGUAGUGUGAAUUGCAGAAUUCCGUGAAUCAUCGAAUCUUUGAACGCACAUUGCGCCCGUCAGUAUUCUGGCGGGCAUGCCUGUUCGAGCGUCAUUACGCCCCUCAAGUCCCCUGUGGACUUGGUGUUGGGGAUCGGCGAGGCUGGUUUUCCAGCACAGCCGUCCCUUAAAUUAAUUGGCGGUCUCGCCGUGGCCCUCCUCUGCGCAGUAGUAAAACACUCGCAACAGGAGCCCGGCGCGGUCCACUGCCGUAAAACCCCCCAACUUUUUAUAGUUGACCUCGAAUCAGGUAGGACUACCCGCUGAACUUAAGCAUAUCAAUAAGCGGAGGA